AUACGGAGGAUGCGAGCGUUAUCCGGAUUUAUUGGGUUUAAAGGGAGCGUAGGCGGGAGCUUAAGUCAGCGGUUAAAUGGUGCGGCUCAACCGUGCCCUGCCGUUGAAACUGGGUUUCUUGAGAGUGCAAGAGGCGGAUGGAAUUCAUGGUGUAGCGGUGAAAUGCUUAGAUAUCAUGAAGAACUCCGAUUGCGAAGGCAGUCCGCUGGGGCACGUCUGACGCUGAUGCUCGAAGGUGCGGGAAGCAAACAGGAUUAGAUACCCUGGUAGUCCGCACGGUAAACGAUGAUUACCCGCUGUCGGCGGCAGACAGUCGGCGGCCAAGCGAAAGCGAUAAGUAAUCCACCUGGGGAGUACGCCGGCAACGGUGAAACUCAAAGGAAUUGACGGGG
Molecule: ribosomal RNA, 392 nt
Filed under: uncultured bacterium
Lineage: Bacteria
Description: partial 16S ribosomal RNA
Rfam family: Bacterial small subunit ribosomal RNA
Source: RNAcentral